AAUUGUUUUGGCAGUCCUACAUUAAAAUUGGAAUGAUACAGAGAACAUUAGUUAGCAUGGCUUCUGCUCAAGGAUAACAAACAAAUUUGGGUUCUAUAUUUAA
Molecule: small nuclear RNA, 103 nt
Organism: Antechinus flavipes (yellow-footed antechinus)
Lineage: Eukaryota; Metazoa; Chordata; Mammalia; Dasyuromorphia; Dasyuridae
Source: RefSeq, a predicted model, not a curated record